GAAAUCAAUUUCCAGGGGUUGCCAAGCACAGCUGACAGAACUUGAGGCACCUAGGGGAAGAGACAGACAAAUUGUUGUACCCCAUCUCCUCACUGCCUUCCCAGUGGAUUGGCACACAGGUAGGAAUCUUACCAACACACACACAGGGAUAGUGACUCAUCUA
This 163-nucleotide long non-coding RNA is filed under the name Monodelphis domestica (gray short-tailed opossum). RNAcentral's name for it is "lncRNA (ENSMODG00000036659.1)". Lineage: Eukaryota; Metazoa; Chordata; Mammalia; Didelphimorphia; Didelphidae. The record is from RNAcentral.